GAUGAACGCUAGCGGCAGGCCUAACACAUGCAAGUCGAGGGGCAGCACGUCUUCGGAUGGUGGCGACCGGCGCACGGGUGCGUAACGCGCAUGCAACCUACCUUUAACUGGAGCAUAGCCCCGAGAAAUCGGGAUUAAUACUCCAUAACAACAAGAAGUGGCAUCACUUUUUAUUUAAAGCUUUGGCGGUUAAAGAUGGGCAUGCGUGACAUUAGUUAGUUGGUGAGGUAACGGCUCACCAAGACUUCGAUGUCUAGGGGUUCUGAGAGGAUUAACCCCCACACUGGUACUGAGACACGGACCAGACUCCUACGGGAGGCAGCAGUGAGGAAUAUUGGUCAAUGGGCGCAAGCCUGAACCAGCCAUGCCGCGUGAAGGAUGAAGGCCUUAUGGGUUGUAAACUUCUUUUAUACGGGAAUAAACUUAGUUACGUGUAACUAACUGCAGGUACCGUAUGAAUAAGCACCGGCUAACUCCGU
This 479-nucleotide ribosomal RNA is filed under the name uncultured Bacteroidota bacterium. Its description in RNAcentral is "bacterial SSU rRNA". It matches the Rfam family "Bacterial small subunit ribosomal RNA", at positions 28 to 506 of the family's 1533-position model. The record is from RNAcentral. Lineage: Bacteria; Pseudomonadati; Bacteroidota.